Molecule: ribosomal RNA, 469 nt
Filed under: uncultured bacterium
Lineage: Bacteria
Description: bacterial SSU rRNA
Rfam family: Bacterial small subunit ribosomal RNA
Source: RNAcentral
UUACACAUGCAAGUCGAAACGGCAGGCACGGGAGCAAUCCUGGUGGCGAGUGGCGAACGGGUGAGUAAUAGUAUCGGAACGUGCCCAGUCGUGGGGGAUAACGUAGCGAAAGCUACGCUAAUACCGCAUACGAUCUAUGGAUGAAAGCGGGGGAUCGCAAGACCUCGCGCGAUUGGAGCGGCCGAUAUCAGAUUAGGUAGUUGGUGAGGUAAAGGCUCACCAAGCCGACGAUCUGUAGCUGGUCUGAGAGGACGACCAGCCACACUGGGACUGAGACACGGCCCCAGACUCCUACGGGAGGCAGCAGUGGGGGAAUUUUUGGACAAUGGGCGCAAGCCUGAUCCAGCAAUGCCGCGUGCAGGAUGAAGGCCUUCGGGUUGUAAACUGCUUUUGUACGGAACGAAACGGUGAGCUCUAAUACAGUUUGCUAAUGACGGUACCGUAAGAAUAAGCACCGGCUAACUACGUG